This 483-nucleotide ribosomal RNA is filed under the name uncultured bacterium. RNAcentral describes it as "partial 16S ribosomal RNA". It matches the Rfam family "Bacterial small subunit ribosomal RNA", at positions 28 to 507 of the family's 1533-position model. The record is from RNAcentral.
GACGAACGCUGGCGGCGUGCUUAACACAUGCGAGUCGAACGCUGAAGCUCAGCUUUUGUUGGGUGGAUGAGUGGCGAACGGGUGAGUAACACGUGAGUAACCUGCCUCCUUCUUUGGGAUAACGCCCGGAAACGGGUGCUAAUACUGGAUAUUCACUGGUCUUCGCAUGGGGGUUGGUGGAAAGGGUUUUUCUGGUGGGGGAUGGGCUCGCGGCCUAUCAGCUUGUUGGUGGGGUGAUGGCCUACCAAGGCUUUGACGGGUAGCCGGCCUGAGAGGGUGACCGGUCACAUAGGGACGGAGAUUAGGCCCAGAAGCGUACGGGGGGCGGCAGUGGGGAAUAUUGGACAAUGGGCGAAAGCCUGAUGCAGCGACGCCGCGUGAGGGAUGGAGGCCUUCGGGUUGUGAACCUCUUUCGCUCAUGGUCAAGCCGCAACAAUGGUUGUGGUGAGGGUAGUGGGUAAAGAAGCGCCGGCUAACUACGUG